CAUGGGGAUGACAUUCUGGUGGAAGAUGCAGAAAAGCAAAAUGGCAUCACAAUCUGAACAGCAAAGGCUGUCACAGGAGAAGUGUGGAGUGCUGGGGCAGCACACAGGAGGGGUACCACACCCUGACCAGAAGUUCGAGGAAGGCUUCGUAAAAGGGCAUAUUAUAAAUUUGAGACUUGUGGGCUAAAUAAAAAUUAUCCAAGUGGAGAAUGAGAUUGAGGGGAAAAGGGCAGGGAGCUCAGCUCCGGGACAAAGAACGGCUGCUAAACAAAAAAGAACAACACUCAACAGUUCUGCCUGAUUAACCGGUAUAACUUUAGGCGAAAAUUCUGGAUGUUGGAUUGCUGGUUUGAAGAACAAAUGUCUGUGACGCUUUCUUCCCCUCCUGAGCAGUUGUGACAUUCUGCAUUCCCACCAGUGACGAGUGAGAGGGCCACUGCCUCUGUGUUGUCAAGUUUCUAAAAUUUUGCCAACUUGAAGGGCAUUGAAUACCUGACAUGUAUCCAGAGGAGAGUGACAAGAAUGGAGAAGUUUUCUUAAAUCAUCAUUUCUGAAGAACACGUGACAGGCCUGCUGAUAUUUGGAGAAGAAAAAGAAAACACUUAGAAGCCAGGAUACAGAUUCCAGCCUGCAGUUCAUACAGUCCAUUGGCUGGCUAUAUUUUCUGGCUUAGGAUAACUCUGAAAGCCACGUGUUGCAGACAGCAAACCAUCUAUCAGCUUGAGUUCCCGAAUUAUCUGUGGAGCAGAGCUUCCCUUCUGCCAUCUACUUUCCACCACACACACAUCAAUUGGAUUUUCUGUGAAAAAUAAAAA
This is a non-coding RNA of Equus caballus (horse), 815 nucleotides long. The record is from RefSeq and is a predicted model, not a curated record. Lineage: Eukaryota; Metazoa; Chordata; Mammalia; Perissodactyla; Equidae.